Molecule: long non-coding RNA, 2600 nt
Organism: Humulus lupulus (European hop)
Lineage: Eukaryota; Viridiplantae; Streptophyta; Magnoliopsida; Rosales; Cannabaceae
Exons: 3
Source: RefSeq, a predicted model, not a curated record
GGAGUCGAAAAGUUUUCUCGAAAAAACUUUUCACAUUUGCUUUUUUAUCUGUAUUUUCAAACUGCUCACAUGUUUAUAGUGUUUAUACUAGGAUGUUGCUGGUCGUAUAAAAGCUAAACUUUUAUACACGAGCAACGUUAUCCCUGUUAUUCUCUUUCUCUAUCUAUUGGUCGUAGAUUCUCACUUCCCCUUUGCUCUUCUCAGAUAUUCAUGCAUGAUCCUUGGGGAGGUGAGAGACCAAUAGACGAUGAUCUUCUCGCAUUGUUAUUCGAGCAUCAACAACAACCUUCCUUUCCCUUCCUUGAGCCUUCAUCUUCACAAAAAAAUCCCGCGACUAGUCCUUCAGUCAGUCAACCACACAUGGAUCAUGUCAAAUACACUGCUCGUAAGAAAAAGAAAACCACCAAUUCACCUUCUAACCAUAAAUCAACCAAUACUGAGGGUCCGUCAAACGACCCUCAUCCUUUAAAUUUUUCACCACCAGACAUUCAGCCAAAAGCCCGUCAUGGCGAUGGCCCCCAAGCAGAAACAGACUGGUAUGUUGCCCCUCCUAGUGUCAUAUCGACCAAUAUGGUGGCCAAGUAUUCCAAGAAGUACGGGCUUCCUGGAGUUACUUUACAUAAACCCACACCCGACCAACGGGCAAACGUGCCUGGAGGCGCCUUCAUCUCCUAGUCGAGGUAUCACAUCGAGGCAGGGGCAAUCUUGCCCUUACACGAUUUUUUCCAAGGGGUGGCCAAUUAUUUCGAGGUUGCCCCUUUUCAAAUAACACCCAAUGGGUAUAGAGUACUAUCAGCACUCUGUAUCCUUUACAAUCACAAAAAAGGGCAUGUGCCUACCCCACACGAGAUCAACUAUCUAUUUGAUCUUACAUCCAACCCCAACCAAAACAACACGGGGUUUUUCCACUUCUGUCACUAGGAAUUUGCUUGCAUAUUCCUGAGUGAUGUUACCUAUAAGUUCAACGUAGGAAAAUAUUUCCAAGAGUACUUCCUCACUACAGACCCGGUUGCUGACAACUUGGCCUUCACACAAGGAGGUAAACUUUUGAAUCUCCGGUUGUUCAUUUUUAUUAUUUUUUCCUUUUCUUGUCCUUAGUAAUUUGGUUUUGCGUCCAGGUCCAUGGCACCGACCAGACCCCACUCCAGAGAUGGAGAUGAGGGCCGCAGUCCUAGCCAAUAUGACGAACAUAGAAAAGAGCGUCAAGGAGCUGGUCACUGAAAGAAAUUUAAGGUUGGUCGGCCUUUUGGAUCCUCAUCAAGAAGUGAGGGAAUCCACUGCGGGGAGUGCCAUUGGAGAGGGUACCGAAGGACAGGAAAUCCCCGAGCAGCAGCAAGAUGUGUCACAAUCCCAGAGCCGAUGACCAACGGGAGUGACCAUCCGAGAACCAUCUAGCAACCCUCAGGUUACUGCUACCCAUGCCCACCAUGGGAGGGGAAAACAAAAACUACCAGAAUAUACCGGCCCUAUAUUCGAAUCAUCUGACGAGAACGUCAUGCCGUCUGAAGAUGCUUUCAACAUGUAUGCCUCUUUCGAAGCUCCUACGAGCAAGAAGAAAUCGAGCAGAAGGCACCUUGGGGAGAGCAGUAGCGAGCCUUCCAAGAAAAAGGCCCAAUCAGAAGACCCUCCGACUCCAACUCCUUCUAGAACUACUACGCUUCCUCCUCCUUCAAGCAGGCAGAGGGAGCCCCGGCCGCUGAAUUGCUGAACAACGCUUUUAACGCUACUUAUGAGAAGCUGCAGAGAUUUUCCAGGCACCGUCGCAGCCAUGAAGCCUUUGCUCAUCUUCCCCCAUUGAAGCAUAGCCAGGUCAUGAGCUGCGGGCUUUCUGAAGUCCUCAGUGGAUUCCUGACCAUGAGCCAUGGUUGGCGCCGUGCUGAGGAGAUCAAGUCCUAACAUGCCAAGGAGAUCAAGGUAUGCGAGGAUAAGGUUAAGGCGAUUGAAAACAAAGUUGCCAAUCUAAUCGAGGAGUUGAAGAGGAGCCAAGAAGAGCUAGCCAAAGCUACUGCUGCCAAAGAAAAGUUUAAGGAGGCUUCAGAGAACAACUUCAAAGAAGCAACCAAACUCUAAGAGGACCUGGCAGCCAGCUUGAAGGAGGCUACUGAGCUAGAGGAGCGGGUCAAGCUGCUCGAGGAAAACCAAUUCUCAAAACCUGGAGAGGUUCUGAGGAGCAAUCUUCAAUUGCUUCUAUUUGUUUUGGAAGAACAACCCUAGGGCAAAUUUUGACUACCUUCCCGAGCAGAUGAGGCAAGUUGAAAUUGCAAAGUGCACUGCUCGCCUAGAAGAGGAAAAGAAAGCUCAGGAAUCUCCUGAAAUUUCCUUGGCGACAGGCAUCGAUGGAGCCGAAGAAGAUGCAGGGACAACAAUCGACCAGAAAUCUCAGCAAGACCCUCCUCCAGCUGCACAAUAAUUUGUUAUUUUUUUUUACUUUGUAACUAAAUUAUGUGAACAUUGGUUUGUAAUGUUGAGAUAAUUUUACUGCGUAAUGCAGCUUUUCUUUUAAUUUUAAUUACAUUCGAGCAGCAAUAGCUUGCGAUGUAAAGACAUUUCAUUAUGAUAUUAUAAUAUUUUUAUUGCUAUUAUAACAUCUGUUCGUAUGA